CCUACGGGAGGCAGCAGUGAGGAAUAUUGGUCAAUGGACGAGAGUCUGAACCAGCCAAGUAGCGUGAAGGAUGACUGCCCUAUGGGUUGUAAACUUCUUUUAUAUGGGAAUAAAAUGUUCCACGUGUGGGAUUUUGUAUGUACCAUAUGAAUAAGGAUCGGCUAACUCCGUGCCAGCAGCCGCGGUAAUACGGAGGAUCCGAGCGUUAUCCGGAUUUAUUGGGUUUAAAGGGAGCGUAGGUGGAUUGUUAAGUCAGUUGUGAAAGUGUGCGGCUCAACCGUAAAAUUGCAGUUGAAACUGGCAGUCUUGAGUACAGUAGAGGUGGGCGGAAUUCGUGGUGUAGCGGUGAAAUGCUUAGAUAUCACGAAGAACGCCGAUUGCGAAGGCAGUUCACUGGACUGCAACUGACACUGAGGCUCGAAAGUGUGGGUAUCAAACAGGAUUAGAUACCCGGGUAGUC
RNAcentral lists this ribosomal RNA (460 nucleotides) under uncultured bacterium. RNAcentral describes it as "partial 16S ribosomal RNA". It matches the Rfam family "Bacterial small subunit ribosomal RNA", at positions 338 to 795 of the family's 1533-position model. The record is from RNAcentral.